CCUAGCCUGGGAACUUCCAUAUGCCUUGGGUGUGGCCCUAAAAAAAAAAAAAAAAAAAUUCCUAAGUUCCAUAUAACAUCAUGUGAACAUUAUCAGUGGGAAUGAUUUCCACUGCUUUGUUGGGUUGAGGCUCAUUCACUCUGAUUCUCAAAUGACAAAAAUUAUUUUCUAGGAGAUGGAACUAAAAGGCUCUGACCUAGAAACGUGGUGUGAUUUCUGGGGUGCAAGCCAGUCCCGAAUGCCAGUCCCAUCUCUGACAGAAAGCAGAACCAUUGGUCUGUCUGGAGGGAGAGAAUUCAGAGUUGAAUUAUUUACUUUAAAAUUUCAGUCAUUGGCAGGAGUUCCCGUUAUGGCGCAGUGGAGACAAAUCCAACUAGGAACCAUGAGGUGCAGGUUCGAUCCCUGGCCUCCUGGGUUAAGGAUCUGGCGUUGCUGUGAGCUGUGGUGUAGGUUGUCGAAGACAUGGCUUGGAUCCCAAGUUGUUGUAGCUGUGGUGUAGGCUGGCAGCUACAACUCCGAUUAGAUCCCUAGGCUGGGAACCUCCAUAUGCUGUGGUUGUGGCCAUAAAAAGCAAAAAGCAAAAUAAUAAUAAUAAUAAUAACAAUAAGAUGCCAGUCAUUGGCAGAACUAAACUUUUCUGGUACAUAUCUCUCUGAAAAAAAAUUUUUUUUUUGUCUUUUGUCUUUUUAGGGCAAAACCCAUGACAUAUGGAGGUUCCCAGGCUAGGGAUCCAAUCACAGCUGUUGCUGUCAGCCUACGCCACAGCCACAGCAACGCCAGAUCUGAGCCGUGUCUGCGACCUACACCACAGCUCACGGCAAUGCCAGAUCCUUAACCCACUGAGCGAGGCGAGGGAUCGAACCCGCGACCUUAUGGUUCCUAGUCAGAUUUGUUUCCUCUUUGCCACUAGAGGAACUCCUCUCUCUGAAAUUUAUAUUAAAAAAUUGAGAAUUUUUAUAGAACGCAAAGUUCUUUUUCUGUUCUGAGAAUUCACUUUAAUGAAUGUAUUGAAAAAAUGACUGACUAUAUAUUCAGGAAAAACACAGUGUGUAAGAGCCUGAGUAACCCUGUCAUUUCUUUGAAGACGUGUAAUCUAUGCCUUUAUGUCUCUGUGUGGUAUACUGGGUUUGUUCUGCUCCUAAUGGUGGCUUCCUUCCACCCCUUUACUGAGUUGAACAGCUCAAGCUCAGGCAUAAAAGCUCUCUUGAACCACUUUCAUCUUGCUUCUCAGAUUUAUUUUCUUCAUCCUUUUCAUUCAGGCCAGUUCUCUUUCUUUUUUUUCCCCUUAGCCUUCUAUGUUAACUGCCCCAUCUGAGUCCUUACAGGAUCAUCUCUUCUCCUUUCAAUCUGGUCCAUUCCUGCUCCCCUUUGCUCUUUGUUCUAUUCUGCUAUCGCAAUCUUAGAAAUGUUUUUACAGGAGUUUCUGUUGUGGCUCAGUGUUAACAAACCCCACUAGUAUUCAUAAGGAUGCGGGUUCAAUCCCUGGCCUCGCUCAGUGGCUUAAGGAUCUGGCAUUGCCGUGAGCUGUGGUGUAGGUCACAGACACGGCUUGGGUGCUGCUUUGCUAUGGCUGUGGUGUAGGCCAGCAGCUGUGGCUCCAAUUUGACCCCUAGCCUGGGGGCUUCCAGGUGCCACAGGUGCACCCCUAAAAAGACCAAAAAGAAAAAGAAAUGUUUUCACAUAUUCCAGCUUUUAUUCAGUUAACAAGUAAUUGAGUGCUGAGUCUGAGCUUGGAACUGUACACGCUAGCAGUCACCAGUGAGAAAGACAGACAUUCCCAGCCCUCAUGGAGGUUACAGUCUAGCAGGAAGGACUUAUAUUAAAUGAAUAACUGAAAACAAAAAAAUUAGUGUGAAGUACCAAGAAGGAGAAGGAGGCUCAUUGAUCUCUUCUAAAGGGAAGGCUUUGUCUAGUCUGGGCAAUUGGAAGGCUUCUUUCAGGAAGCUGUGUUUCAUCUGAGCCCUGAAGGAAGAACAAGAGUGGCUAGGUCUGGUGGGAGAGGCUGUUCAUCAGGGAGCAGUCCAAGCAGCAAAGACCAGUGAAGGAGGCCCCACAUGGAGAGGAACAUGACCUAUUUAAGGAAUUGAAAGAAUGCCCUAUUUUUUUUUCCCACAACUGAGACGGUUGUCCUCCAGUAAUGUGGGUCAGGGGACAUCUUUUCUCUUGCAGUACCACUUUUAAUUGCUACAUGUCACAUCUGCCUGCUCCAGGCAAACCCCAUCAGGUUUCCAAUAUACAUUUGAAAUUACUCAGCCUCUUGUUUACUAGAAAUAAAGGAAACCAAUUUCUUCUCUCUGGGUAUCUUCCCCAGAGAGAUACAGCGUCUCAUCGUUAGAGGAGAUGAGGUAAACAUUCUCUCAUACAGGAACUAAUUGGGUGGUGGUGAAUAGUUACAUGUUCCUGCUGGUGAGUAGGAUCUUUGUUCAUGGUCUUGCUUCCUGCUGGGAUGACAUAGUAAGAUAAAUAUGGCUGUAGCUGGAGUGGAACUCAGCCAGGGAUGAAGCCUUGAGUUCUCAAGGAGACUGGGCAGACCCAGGGUCUGUGGAGAGCACCUGCUGAGUCUUAUUGGUGAAAAUGCUAGAGGCUGGUGAGGUCCCUGCAGAUGUUCUCUGUGGACCGAAGCUGCUGAUGCAGAGAAGAAAGAGCUGGGCCUGCCCAUCCCUGAGACAGCCUGAUAACAGUGGACAACAGUACUGAUUGGUCUGAAUUGCUCCUCUUCCAGGCUGAGGGGAGAGAACUGAUCUUUCUCAUACUUUGAGAAACCUGAGAGCCCAGGACGUUCACUCCCUUACCUCUCACUGCCUGCCAAUCUCCCAACCCCGAACUGAAAGAGAGCACGAAGUACUCAAGAACAUCCAGCACCCAUGGAGUUCCCUGGUGGUUGGGGGGUUAAGGAUCCAGUAUUGUCACUGCUGUGG
This 2918-nucleotide long non-coding RNA is filed under the name Sus scrofa (pig). RNAcentral's name for it is "lncRNA (ENSSSCG00045039569.1)". Lineage: Eukaryota; Metazoa; Chordata; Mammalia; Artiodactyla; Suidae. The record is from RNAcentral.